GAUGAACGCUAGCGGCAGGCCUAACACAUGCAAGUCGAGGGGCAGCAUGGCGUAGCGAUACGCUGAUGGCGACCGGCGCACGGGUGCGUAACGCGUAUGCAACCUGUCCGGCGCAGGGGGGUAGCCCGUCGAAAGGCGGGGUAAUCCCGCAUGAACCGGUAUUCCCGCAUGGGGGGUGCUGGCAAAGUGGAGACGCGGGGCCGGAGGGGCAUGCGUGCCAUUAGCUGGCUGGAGGGGUAACGGCCCACCAGGGCGAUGAUGGCUAGGGGGUCUGAGAGGAUGGUCCCCCACACUGGUACUGAGACACGGACCAGACUCCUACGGGAGGCAGCAGUGAGGAAUAUUGGUCAAUGGGCGGAAGCCUGAACCAGCCAUCCCGCGUGAAGGAAGACAGCCUUACGGGUUGUAAACUUCUUUUCUGUCAGAAGAAUAAGCUUGUCGAGACGAGUGAUGCCGGUAUGACGAGGAAUAAGCAGUCGCUAACUCCGUCGCC
This 493-nucleotide ribosomal RNA is filed under the name uncultured bacterium. Its description in RNAcentral is "bacterial SSU rRNA". It matches the Rfam family "Bacterial small subunit ribosomal RNA", at positions 28 to 509 of the family's 1533-position model. The record is from RNAcentral.